UGACUCCACUGAGACGUGUUGCAUAGGCGUAGCGAAUCGAGCGAAGCUAGCCAAUCUAGCCGGAAGUGUAAAGAGCGCGCCCCUACAAGCUAGCGAACCUAGACCCCUAGCGUAGCAAAGCUAGCGGCCUUUGGAGGUCCUACGCUUGCUAUUCAAAAUGGCCGACAUUGUUGUCGCUUUCAAGUUUGCAGAUGAGAGUUUCUUUGAUACUCCCGUUAAAAAGGAGUAUUGGACCGGAUACAAAGUGAAACGAAUGUGGGAAAUCAAUGGACCAAGGGGGCAUACUUUUCCUCAUGGACACUUAUGCCGAACAUAAGGAACAAUUUGCAAUUCCAACUUGAAAAUAGAGGUAUGGAAGAGGAUUGCUUCAGAAAUGGCAGCCUCAGGAUGCCACUUUGCUCCAGCAGCACUUGAGAAAAAAAUGGAGCAAUAUGAAAAUAUGGUACAAAGCUAUAUUAGAUUUCAACAAGAAAACGGGCCAGGGAAGAUCACGAUGGAAUUUCUAUUCCAGAAUGGCUGAAAUCUUGGAAGGAGACCCUUCGUUCAUCCCACCACUGACAUCAUCAUCACUGGGGAGUGUAAAAGUAAACACUCUCUCCGAGAUCUCCAAUACCCAGCAAUGUGCCACCCCUACAAAGAAGCAAGA
This is a long non-coding RNA of Pomacea canaliculata, 646 nucleotides long. RefSeq lists it as uncharacterized. The transcript has 4 exons. Lineage: Eukaryota; Metazoa; Mollusca; Gastropoda; Architaenioglossa; Ampullariidae. The record is from RefSeq and is a predicted model, not a curated record.